Molecule: long non-coding RNA, 261 nt
Filed under: Eutrema salsugineum
Lineage: Eukaryota; Viridiplantae; Streptophyta; Magnoliopsida; Brassicales; Brassicaceae
Description: long non-coding RNA (ESAL_LNC001439)
Source: RNAcentral
UUUUUUUUUUUUUGGUAAGAUGUUAAAUAUAUUACCAUUUUCGGGUUUUACACUGUACAUGUUGGCGAGGCAACUUAUUACAAAGAAAGUAAGGAGUAAAACGAGCUUAAGGAGGAUAGAAGAUGAAGCCAAAAUACAUCUGGAGGAGGGAAGCAGAGCUAUCAGUUCUGGAAGGAAAAGAGAAAAGCCUGUCCCUGAGUUGGCGGUCGAUAGACGACCAGAUAGUGGCCAGCGACGACGAGAAGGCGGAGAAUAGACGGG